RNAcentral lists this ribosomal RNA (494 nucleotides) under Mantoniella sp. RCC5273. RNAcentral describes it as "SSU rRNA". It matches the Rfam family "Eukaryotic small subunit ribosomal RNA", at positions 646 to 1144 of the family's 1831-position model. The record is from RNAcentral. Lineage: Eukaryota; Viridiplantae; Chlorophyta; Mamiellophyceae; Mamiellales; Mamiellaceae.
UUCGGUUGAGAGCGGCCGGUCCGCCGUUUGGUGUGCACUGGCUGGUCUCAACUUCCUGCGGAGGACGCGCUCUGGGCUUAACGGUCUGGACGUGGAGUCCGCGUGGUUACUUUGAAAAAAUUAGAGUGUUCAAAGCGGGCUUACGCUUGAAUAUUUCAGCAUGGAAUAACACUAUAGGACUCCUGUCCUAUUUCGUUGGUCUCGGGACGGGAGUAAUGAUUAAGAGGAACAGUUGGGGGCAUUCGUAUUUCAUUGUCAGAGGUGAAAUUCUUGGAUUUAUGAAAGACGAACUUCUGCGAAAGCAUUUGCCAAGGAUGUUUUCAUUAAUCAAGAACGAAAGUUGGGGGCUCGAAGAUGAUUAGAUACCAUCCUAGUCUCAACCAUAAACGAUGCCGACUAGGGAUUGGCGGAUGUUAAUUGAUGACUCCGCCAGCACCUUAUGAGAAAUCAAAGUUUUUGGGUUCCGGGGGGAGUAUGGUCGCAAGGCUGAAACU